CGGGGCGUGGCGCAGCCUGGUAGCGCGCUUGCCUUGGGCGCAAGAGGUCCCCGGUUCGAAUCCGGGCGCCCCGACCA
Molecule: transfer RNA, 77 nt
Filed under: Acidobacteriota bacterium
Lineage: Bacteria; Pseudomonadati; Acidobacteriota
Also listed under: 2 other names
Description: Acidobacteria bacterium (hot springs metagenome) tRNA-Pro
Rfam family: tRNA
About the family: Transfer RNA (tRNA) molecules are approximately 80 nucleotides in length. Their secondary structure includes four short double-helical elements and three loops (D, anti-codon, and T loops). Further hydrogen bonds mediate the characteristic L-shaped molecular structure. tRNAs have two regions of fundamental functional importance: the anti-codon, which is responsible for specific mRNA codon recognition, and the 3' end, to which the tRNAs corresponding amino acid is attached (by aminoacyl-tRNA synthetases). tRNAs cope with the degeneracy of the genetic code in two manners: having more than one tRNA (with a specific anti-codon) for a particular amino acid; and 'wobble' base-pairing, i.e. permitting non-standard base-pairing at the 3rd anti-codon position.
Source: RNAcentral